UUCCGGUUGAUCCUGCCGGAGGUCACUGCUAUUGGGAUUCGGCUAAGCCAUGCAAGUGGAGGGCGCGGUCGAAAGAUCGUGGCCCCACACACUGCUCAGUAACACGUAGUCAACCUACCCUUGGGACGGGGACAACCUCGGGAAACUGAGGCUAAUCCCCGAUAGGUGAGGGACGCUGGAAUGCCUCCUCGCCCAAAGCUCCGGCGCCCAAGGAUGGGACUGCGGUCUAUCAGGCUGUUGGUGGUGUAACGGACCACCAAACCUACGAUGGGUACGGGCGAUGGGAGUCGGAGCCCGGAGAUGGGGACUGAGACAAGGCCCCAGGCCCUACGGGGCGCAGCAGGCGCGAAAACUCCGCAAUGCGCGCAAGCGUGACGGGGGAAUCCCAAGUGCCGUUGGUCUUAUGAUCGACGGUUUUUAGGAAGUCUAAGAAGCUUCCAGAAUAAGGGCUGGGCAAGACUGGUGCCAGCCGCCGCGGUAACACCAGCAGCCCAAGUGGUGACCACGAUUAUUGGGCCUAAAGCGCUCGUAGCCGGAUCAGCAAGUCCCUUGUGAAAUCGGGCCGCCUAACGGUUCGGCGUGCAAGGGAUACUGUUGGUCUUGAGGCCGGGAGAGGUCGGAGGUACUCCUGGGGUAGCGGUGAAAUGCUCUAAUCCUAGGGGGACCACCAGUGGCGAAGGCGUCCGACCAGAACGGACCUGACGGUGAGGGGCGAAGGCUAGGGGAGCGAACGGGAUUAGAUACCCCGGUAGUCCUAGCUGUAAAGCAUGCGGGCCAGGUGUCUAGCGCUCCUUGAGGGCGCUAGGUGCCGGAGGGAAGCCGUUAAGCCCGCCGCCUGGAAGUACGGCCGCAAGGCUGAAACUUAAAGAAAUUGGCGGGGGAGCACCACAAGAGGUGGGACCUGCGGUUCAAUUGGAUUCAACGCCGGA
This 929-nucleotide ribosomal RNA is filed under the name uncultured archaeon. RNAcentral describes it as "bacterial SSU rRNA". It matches the Rfam family "Archaeal small subunit ribosomal RNA", at positions 1 to 922 of the family's 1478-position model. The record is from RNAcentral.